UAUGUCCUCAGGUAUCCUUGCUAGUCUAAGUGUACAGGCAGUAUAGUAUAACACAGCCUCUCUUUCCCCAAAUAUAUUCCUCAAGACAUGACUAGAUGAUCAAUGAGAAAAGAGUUCCAUGAACGUGCAAGUUCAAGAAACAAUGGAGUAAACCAAGUUCAAUAGUCUUCUUUGCUGCGGGCCUUCUCAGGGCCUUAGUAAGCUAAGGCACUCGUGAUUCUCAGAGGAUUACAGUGUGCAGCCUUUGACCAUGGAAGACGUCUUUAUACCAGAGUAUGUGGAUCACCAACUCCGAGGACAGUUGAAGCUGGGAGGUGCCACUGGCCACCUUUGUCACCACUGAGAGAAGCAUGCCUGGUGUUGAAGCCAACACAGAGUUGAAGAAAUGGAUGCCCAAAGAAAGGAAUGGGUUGGCCUGUGGCACCCAGCCAGCAACUGACAGAGCCAGGAUUUGAAACAGAUUCACCCCGAAGGACAGAACCCAGAGUCUGCAUGUUCAGAAAGAUGACACAGCCAAGUUCCCCAAUAUCCACGACAGCCCUCUCUACGGUUCCUAAGGCUCAUUAAGAUGGAAGAGCAAGACUCCAGCUUUUGGACAGAUUCCCAACAAGAAAAUUUAGAGGAGAGGUGAAGCUUCUCAGAGGGUGCAACGUCUCUGUUUCCAUGAGCACCAGAUGGAGGGGCUGGAGCUGGCUUCCCUCGAGGUGAUGCUGAGGAAAUGACACAGGGAGUUCACUCAUGAAAAGUCCCGGGGACAUCAACUGAGGAAAAAGCCACAUGUUUCUCAAUACAUUCCCGUUAGUACAGAGGGUGGCAGAUCCAGCCACUCCUCUCAAGGCCUAAAGCAGCAGGGAAACUCCGCAAUCACAUGUGCACAGCAAGAUUGGAGGCUGAAGCCCUCGUAUUUUUCUGGGUAUUUUUGUUUGGCUUUUUAUUUUUUUAAGGCACUCAAUUCUGCUUACAAUGUAAUGGGCACUGUGUUCUGGCAGGAUCUGCUUUUAAAAUAAAAGGUGGGGGAUAGAUAAGAAAUUAACAGGCCUCUUGAGUACAUGAU
Equus quagga is the source of this 1054-nucleotide long non-coding RNA. RefSeq lists it as uncharacterized. NCBI's taxonomy places the organism in Eukaryota, Metazoa, Chordata, Mammalia, Perissodactyla, Equidae. The transcript is spliced from 4 exons. The record is from RefSeq and is a predicted model, not a curated record.